UAGGGAAUCUUCGGCAAUGGACGAAAGUCUGACCGAGCAACGCCGCGCGAGUGAAGAAGGUUUUCGGAUCGUAAAACUCUGUUGUUAGAGAAGAACAAGGACGUUAGUAACUGAACGUCCCCUGACGGUAUCUAACCAGAAAGCCACGGCUAACUACGUGCCAGCAGCCGCGGUAAUACGUAGGUGGCAAGCGUUGUCCGGAUUUAUUGGGCGUAAAGCGAGCGCAGGCGGUUUCUUAAGUCUGAUGUGAAAGCCCCCGGCUCAACCGGGGAGGGUCAUUGGAAACUGGGAGACUUGAGUGCAGAAGAGGAGAGUGGAAUUCCAUGUGUAGCGGUGAAAUGCGUAGAUAUAUGGAGGAACACCAGUGGCGAAGGCGGCUCUCUGGUAUGUAACUGACGCUGAGGCUCGAAAGCGUGGGGAGCAAACAGG
This 429-nucleotide ribosomal RNA is filed under the name Gemmatimonadota bacterium. RNAcentral's name for it is "Gemmatimonadetes bacterium partial 16S ribosomal RNA". It matches the Rfam family "Bacterial small subunit ribosomal RNA", at positions 355 to 776 of the family's 1533-position model. The record is from RNAcentral. Lineage: Bacteria; Pseudomonadati; Gemmatimonadota.